Molecule: ribosomal RNA, 3233 nt
Filed under: Triticum aestivum (bread wheat)
Lineage: Eukaryota; Viridiplantae; Streptophyta; Magnoliopsida; Poales; Poaceae
Description: partial small subunit ribosomal RNA
Source: RNAcentral
AGCCACUUAAAAUUAGUUAUAUACGGAGAAGCUGUUUUGCGGUGCCCACUAAACCAUCGACGCGCUUAUCGGUUUUUUGCGAGAACGCGGUUGAGAGGAAGCUUACACGAGUUCAGCAGCUAGUUGCUGGUGCAAAACCUUAGCCAGUCCCUGCAGAAUCGCCGGGUUGGAAAUGGCGUUCCCAAGGAGCCCUGCUUCCACCGUGAGCAGCUAUGCUUCUACUCCGACGCUGAGUAGCUGCCCCAGCUCCUCCAUCUCCACAGGCUGCAGCACCCCUGCCACCCCAAACCCCUUUGCCGUCGCGGCAAUAAGCCCCACCCCAAUCCAGCACAUAGUUCCAGCCGGACGUGCCGGUGAUCACAAGCCGGCGCUAGCAGCCACAGGAACUCCUGAAUUCACACAGGGAAAGAAGCUUCAGCAGCAUCAGGAUCUUCUGGAAUCAGCAGCGAAGUUCCCUAAGCAAGAAAACCCAGCACUAGCAAUCACAGGAGGUACGGAAUUCAUACAGGGAAAGACUCUUCAGCAGCAUCAGGAUCUCCUUGAAUCAGCAGCGAAGUUCCCUAAGCAAGAAAUCAAUGGCUGGGAGCAUCCAGACCUCUGUUCACCAUCAAAGCUGCUCAAGAACGUAAGUACUUCUAUCAAGGAGAUCGGUCGCUGGGCAAGAUCUUCAACGGGGUUAAAGGUGAACUCAAAUAUCCGGCUCUUGGAGUCGGUAUUUUCCUUGAUACAAGUGGUAACUUCGACAGCACCACACCCAGAUCACGUGGUUGCUAUGAUACGAGUCCACGAAGCGCUUGCUAACCUGUUGCUGGUCCUGCCCAAGAAUAUAUUCCCUUUCCUGUUGCAACAUUUCGCUCAGUUUGUAGAUGAGUUAUGCCCGAAAAGAGGUGCAUCACUAUCAGAAAGGUUUGGAAACGCACUGCAUGAUUUGCGAAGAAGCAUAAGGAGGGGCCUUCGAGUACUCAAAGACAUGAUCUUUGACUAUAAAUCUGACGUAGUCCCCCAAGGUGGCGGUAUCCAUGAGAUCACCAGAUACUUGUUAAAAUACAUCAUGUCACUUCUGGACAAUGGCACCUCUCUCAAGAUCAUACUUGUUGGUGAUGAACAGGAUGACAAGGUUGCAAUGGAGACGCUGCAAGAUACUGUUGCUACCUUGAUCUCUCACAUGGAAAUUAUGCUUGAGAAAGAAUCUCAUCGAUAUAAAGAUGCAGGGUUGAAACAAAUGUUCAUGGUGAAUAAUGUGAACUUUUUGUUGCAUCAAGUAGAAGGCUCAGAGAUAAGGAAUCUUCUAGGAGAUGAUUGGGUUCUGAAGCACCGAGACCAACUAAAGGACCACAUCUCAUCGUUCAUCAACAUUUCUUGGGAAUCUGUCAUGUAUUGCUUCCAUGUAAAGACCAACAAAAUCCCAAUCUUUUCUAGCCUACCAACACUGCAAAUAUUUAACAUGGAAUUUGAGAAAACUUACUGGACUCAGAAGACAUGGAAAGUUGAAAAUCCUCUGCUCCGGUCCAACAUGCGUAAAUCAGUAUCAGAGAAGCUUGUUCAGGCUUACAGUGCAUACCUUGAGAAUCACAAAAACAAGUAUCAAAGGCUUAUGAAGUACACCAUCGAAGAUCUUGAAGAGCUGCUGUCAGAUCUGUUUGAAGGAUAAUGGUCAUAGCUAGAAAGAGGACGAAGCGCAGAUGCAUGUUAAAAAUACUAGUGCAACACGUCUGAAGGAUAAAUAAUCCCUUGAGCUAGGAUGAAGAUCAGAAGCAUGCCCUCAAAGCUUGUGGAGUAAAUAUCGAACUGUAACUGGCAUAUCCUUGAUAUGUUAGGAUUGAACUGUACCUGAGAUUUUGCAGACCAGAAGGUACAUAUAACUUUAUUGCCACCUCUGCUCCAAAAUAGAUGCCACUUGGACAAUGACAUGGUUCAAAGUAUAUACCUAUGAGACUUUGCUAUUUUUGACUAAACUCUCAUAAGGAUGCUCCAACUUAAAUGGAAUAGGACCUAUAAACUGUCAAGUAUUUGUAAAAUACUGGAGCACCAUCCGGUUGGCCUAUAUUUUACCAAGCUCUUUUCCAUGCAGCCUGGUUAGCUCAACCCCCUUCAUCAGCAACAGAGAUGAACUUCAGAUUGACGAGAGAAGUUAUCCUCUUCGGUUGAUGCCUGUACUGCAAAUAUUGCCACUAUUCCUCACCAAGAAAUUUGCUGCACAUUAAUUGGGUGCAACUCUCCAGAAACUGCCUUAAUGCCUAUGCACAAAGGAAACGAAGAGGACAUUACUUCAAACACUUUAUGCACAUCUGUCACCAGUGGGUUCCUCUGAGUCUUUAUUUGACACUGAAUUACUUGGCUUACUACGCUUCGACAAUGAUUUUCUGUAAAGGAAGUGCAGUGGACAGUUUCAGACAAGUGUGUGUACAUACCAAUCACACAGUCAUUCUAUAUGAUCUUUGACUUAAUAAAAAGGAGAGUUCUGAGGAAAACAUCGACCUCUUUGUGGACUUCUUGGCAGCAGCUACACCCAUCUUCGUCUUCGACUUGUCAAAAUCAGUUGAUCCCUCAUGCAUGGCACUAUAGUUGUGCAUAUUGGUUUUAGUUUCUGUUGCGGCUGCCUCCAUCCUUUCGGAAGCUUGGAAUUUGAGUUUUAACUCUUCCUUCCUCAUUGUAUGGGUAUUGAACCUACUUGGCUGAGAUUCCCUAAGAAUACCCUUCAAUAGAAACAUGACAACGCCAGGAUUCAGGAACAAACAAGAGAAAAUAUGAUAAUAGUAUUACGGCAAGCUGCAAGCAUCAUGCAAGUAAAUGUAAACCAGCGAUUUGCACUCUGAGGAAGAAGACAUGCCAGUGCCACCAUGUAAUUGGAAAGGUUGUCAUGCUUCAUAGUCAACACACACGGAAGCAGUCAGAGACUGCGCGACCAGAUAUGAACCUCUAGCGCAACCUUUAAAAAGUUUAAAUGGAUGAAUAUGUGGUUACAAAGUCCAUGGAUCUAAGUGACUGAGUUGAAGGACGAUGGGUGCAUUUUACUCAUUGGAGGACCAGCUCAAGGAUUAGGUCAUGGUUUUCUUUAAAUUAUUACCUAUGCAAACCAGUGAUGUACAGUCCGAUCCAAAAUAGGGUGUUCGAGAAUAGUUACUGAAAGCCAUUUAAUCUUAUGUUACUUACAUUUUGAAUCACUUGUUCCCUGCAGCAUUUUGUGGGAGUUACUGCAAAAGUUCCUGUAUUACUCACAAGUUAUAUAUAGU